This 495-nucleotide ribosomal RNA is filed under the name uncultured bacterium. RNAcentral's name for it is "partial 16S ribosomal RNA". It matches the Rfam family "Bacterial small subunit ribosomal RNA", at positions 28 to 507 of the family's 1533-position model. The record is from RNAcentral.
GACGAACGCUGGCGGCGUGCCUAAUACAUGCAAGUCGAACGCUGAAGGAGGGGCUUGCUCGUCUGGAUGAGUUGCGAACGGGUGAGUAACGCGUAGGUAACCUGCCUGGUAGCGGGGGAUAACUAUUGGAAACGAUAGCUAAUACCGCAUAACAGUAGAUGUUGCAUGACAUUUACUGGAAAGUUGCAAUUGCAUCGCUACCAGAUGGAGCUGCGGUGGAUUAGCUAGUUGGUGUGGUAACGCAUCACCAUGGCGGCGAUACAUAGCCGACCGGAGAGGGGGAUCGGCCACACUGGGAGGGAGACACGGCCCAGACGCCUACGGGAGGCAGCAGUAGGGAAUCUUCGGCAAUGGACGGAAGACUGACCGAGCAAGGCCGCGCGAGUGAAGAAGGUUGUCGGAUCGGAAAGCUCUGUUGUCAGAGAAGAACGAGUGUGAGAGUGGAAAGUUCACACUGUGACGGUAUCUUACCAGAAAGGGACGGCUAACUACGUG